Long non-coding RNA from Photinus pyralis (common eastern firefly), 1975 nucleotides. RefSeq lists it as uncharacterized. The transcript is spliced from 2 exons. The record is from RefSeq and is a predicted model, not a curated record. NCBI's taxonomy places the organism in Eukaryota, Metazoa, Arthropoda, Insecta, Coleoptera, Lampyridae.
AAGAAAAUCGUUUCUCCAAUGAAGUUAUUAGAUUCUGCGUAAUGCGAUUUUUGACCUAUAUGUACGUUUUAUUUGCGUUUAUUAGAAAGACGUAAACGUUUCAAAAAAUUGCUCUACACAUGCAGAAAUUGGUUUCUGCAGAUGUUAGCAAAGGGCCUGAACUCGAUAGCCAUUGCCGUUCGCGAGAACGUGUAAUUAGACCAGCUUGUAAAUAUACUUCGAAACUCCUCUCUUCUAAGAACACGUGCGUGAAUUAAAUUUCGUCUGAUAAAAACUAAAUACAUAAAUCUAAAUAAUCAAUUUACAAAAGCGAUAAGAUUUAAACAAGAAAAUAAUAGGCAAUUACAAGCAAUUCUAAAAGGAAAAAUAGAUACUGAGAUAACACAUUCAAGUAAAGUAACCCAACCUUGUGCUAUUAUUUACACUUAAUAAAUUGAACUAUUAUCACAUACAGGGUGGUAAGAACAGGAUUAGUUAUGGGUGUUUGGACUCAAUCCUAGACACGCCAUCGCUUGACCCGGAUGCCAAGUAAGAUUGAAUGUUAUUUCCACCCCUCUCACCCCCUCCCCCUCCCCCAUUCACGAGUGCAAAUUAUGCUAAUAUUUUAUGAUCAUUUUACCGCCUUUUUGUUUGUUUGUUUGUUUGUUUUUUGUACAUUCUUCGCCCGUUGGACCCUAGCAUGCUCCUUUACAUAAACAGCCUUAAUUGGUAAAUACAUUGAUUUCCGUGAAAUGUGGUGGCAGAUGACUACCGUAAUAUUUUAAAUAUCAAUGUUGUAUCAAUGAAGAUCCAAGAGGUAAUCUCAGUUAUGUGACGAUUUGUGUUGUUAAUACAUUUGUAAUGUGGACACCCUGUAUAGUAAAUAUGACAUUGACACUAUUUUCUGAAAGUUGUUUUGUUUGCAUUCAUAAAUUUACUGUUCCGAAUCCAUCCUAAUUUGCCAAGUGCAAUUAGUGCACAAUAAAGCGGCCUUGAUACAGAAUCUACCUGGUAACGGAGAAAAUUUAGCGUUUAAUGACCCGUUAUCUUAUCGUGUGUCAAAUUCAUUUUUUGCUGUCGUAUUAUUACACUCAUCAAACGUUAUUACGCCUAAUAACCUUUAUUAAACUUUCCGCAGUUCGCGCAAUGCCUAGCAAUCUUUAAUUUCAUUGGAAGUCGACCGAGCGUGUAUGUGGGUUACGAGUGAAUAUAUAAACAAACAAAUAAAUUUGAACACAUUAAAAAAGUCCAAACACGGAGAGAAACCAUUAAUAAAUUUCAAUAAUUCUAUUCGAAAGAUGUUCACGUUGGCGAUCGUCUGUAGUCCACGCAAAAGGUGCGUGUCACUAACGCUUUUUAUAGUAGUACCAUUCGUGCGAUGCGUGAUUUAUCGCGAACAAAGAGACUUUAAUUAGGACAAAAUAAUUAAAAUUUCGCGUCGCGCGCCCAAAACCACUAACGCCCUCUACGUCCACGAGCGAUCGUUUCGCAUCGGACCAGCCGUCUGCGGGCCUUAAAUCAUCUCAGGGUUUUCCUAAAUUUAGUGCGAAACCUCAAGGUGAUCGAGUGUAUGUCUUUAAUUAAGCUGUCACAGUCCCUUUUUAUUCAACAAUUCGGAGAAAUUUGCCGAUGAUUGACGUCAAAAUUCCAUUGGCUGAGGCUCAGUUCUCAUCCUCGCUGACAAGUGAAAUGAAUAAAACGAUUUGCGUAUACACGAGCGCAUUUGGUUGGACCAUUGCUCAUUUUCAGCAUUACAAAUCGCGUAUAUCAACAACACAUAUUAAAUCCGCUCUUUUUUGGCAUACAAAGAUGUACAUGAUUACAUUAAUUUUUGGGUCAAAAUCAGCGUCGGAUUAAGGGGCGAGGUAGGGGGGUUGCACCCCCGUGAUCCCAGCUUUCCAAUCCACACACCUCAAGUUACGAGUAGGUACCUAUUUUUAAGAUUGCAAAUGUAUUUAUGUAUUAUGAAAGGUACAAAUUAAAAAUGUGCAAAAUC